UACUGAUAGAUCUAUAUUUUACAGAGAAGGAACUGACUUAAGAUGAAACAUAUCGAAGGCAGAAUCUAUGACUCUGAUUUCAUGAAGCUUCAGAAUCUGCGAGGCACUUCUGGUCAGGAUGGUUCUCCCUUUUCUAAACCACCCUGUUCAAUUCAAACCCCUAGUGAUGACACAUAAAAUUAAAAGUUGAAUAACUACGAAUUCCUGUUGUGGUACAGCAGAAACAAGUCCGACCAGGAACCAUGAGGUUCCAGGUUUGAUCCCUGGCUUUGCUCAGUGGGUUAAGGAUCUGGUGUUGCUGUGAGCUGUGGUGUAGGCUGGCAGCUGCAACUAUAAUUAGACCCCUAGCCUGGGAACCUCCAUAGGCUGCAGGUGUGGCCUUCAAAUGACAAAAAAAAUAAGGAAGGCAGAAACUCAAGCUCUUGGAUUGAGAUUCUGGGAUAAAGGCCUUAAAAAUAGGAUUACAAACCAGGCUCAUUGCUAGAAGCCUGGGCCAAGAUGGGGCUCCCCACUAAUGAAAGAAGUAAAAAUAAAUAGCUAUAGAACCCUGAGCAGCCUUGGGAUAGUAGGGGCCCAGGGUAGUGGGCACCUGAGCCACAGGCCUCUAAGACCCCAGUCAGCCUGGCUCUGCACCUGAAUGUUGUGAAAUUCCCAGCGGUGGCAAAGGGUACAAGCCCCUGAUGUCACUAUAAGCACCUGGGCUGGCCUGGAGCUCUAGGGCAGCAACAUGAAACUGCUGGGUCUGGAGGAGUGAGAUCAGUAGAGGAGAGGAGGACAAAGGACACCACAGCUUCUGUGAGGCAAGGCCCAGCGGUGCAGGUUCUGUGCCUACGCUUCUGAGGCCCAGAGGGACCAGCCAGGCUCCAGCUGGGGCUCCCCUUAUUUGCACUCAGAUUGCCUUUUGAAGAGCUACUAUUAUCUGCCCUCCAUCCCCUCUUCCCCCUCAUCUUCCAAAGCCCCAGGGCUCUGUCUGCAAGAUCUCUCCAGCUGGGUCUGGCCCACCACAAAGGCCUCAGUCCCAGUUGCACUCCUGCCCUCCGAUUAUCCAAGAUCAGGGAGCCUGUGACCAUCUGGACACAGUUGAUAAUGGAGAGGGGGAGGGGAAUGGGGGUAGAAGCCCAGCCUCAAAGCCUGCCUGCUCCCAACCCAUGGAUAACACCUAGGACAAAGCAAGGAAGGCAUGUUGCUUGUUUACCCAAGUGAAAGCCAGAGUGGAAAAGGUAGGGACAAAUCGAGGGCAAGCUCUCCCAAGAGACAUGGGUGCCUUACCCAGGCUGAGCACACUGGUGUAGCCAGGCAGACUGCCAGUUUCCCCCACAAUGUCCAUCAGUGCUCUCUUGUGAAAAUGCCAAUGUCCUGGCCUGCCCUGUCUGCCCAGGCAGACCUGACACCCCCACCCCAGAGUUGACCCCUGCCCUGCUGUGCCCCUUCUAUCACCUGACAUUUGGCCAAGGCUUAUGUGUGACAUCUCUGGUCUCUCCUG
This 1483-nucleotide long non-coding RNA is filed under the name Sus scrofa (pig). RNAcentral's name for it is "lncRNA (ENSSSCG00000052819.1)". Lineage: Eukaryota; Metazoa; Chordata; Mammalia; Artiodactyla; Suidae. The record is from RNAcentral.